UACAGAGGGGGCUAGCGUUAUUCGGAAUUAUUGGGCGUAAAGGGUGCGUAGGCGGCGCUGUAAGUCGGGUGUGAAAUCUUGGAGCUUAACUCCGAAACUGCAUUCGAUACUGCCGUGCUUGAGGACUGGAGAGGAGACUGGAAUUUACGGUGUAGCGGUGAAAUGCGUAGAUAUCGUCAGGAAGACCAGUGGCGAAGGCGGGUCUCUGGCCAGUUCCUGACGCUGAGGCACGAAGGCCAGGGGAGCAAACGGG
Molecule: ribosomal RNA, 253 nt
Filed under: uncultured bacterium
Lineage: Bacteria
Description: partial 16S ribosomal RNA
Rfam family: Bacterial small subunit ribosomal RNA
Source: RNAcentral